Non-coding RNA from Cinara cedri, 294 nucleotides. NCBI's taxonomy places the organism in Eukaryota, Metazoa, Arthropoda, Insecta, Hemiptera, Aphididae. The record is from the annotation of a GenBank genome assembly.
AUUAUCGUGUUAAAAUAAUAUGUGUUUAAUUGCGACCGGACAUUGUGAAACAAAUCCAAAUAAAUCUUUUCACGUUGUUUUAUAAUUAUUGUUUGCUAAAAAUACAGAACAAGAAUACAUUUCAACAAGAAUAAUUAUUGUUUGUCUUUAAGCACGCACAUCCGUAUAGUACCUUCGUGUGUGGUCCUGGAUUUAUCAUUUUGUACUUUGAUUUAAAUAACGGUUUUCUGUCGAAGAAUUAUUGCUCUCGUGGUGAAAAUUACAAUUUAUAUGGAAAAAUAAAGAGGGGGGGGA